RNAcentral lists this unclassified non-coding RNA (634 nucleotides) under Hevea brasiliensis (rubber tree). Lineage: Eukaryota; Viridiplantae; Streptophyta; Magnoliopsida; Malpighiales; Euphorbiaceae. The record is from RNAcentral.
ACAACAAAAUCUUUUGCAAGUUCCCUAUAUUUGACAAAGAAGGAAAACAUUUUAAAAAAAAAUAAGUAUUGCAGACAUAAGCAUAUACAGCAAACACAAUCUUAUGAAAUUUGUUUAAAUUAUUAGCCAGAUUGCAGGUUUAUUUGUACGCUAAGGCCCUGAAUGCCACUUACAUGUGGAAACACACAAUCUAUAAUGCCAGUAAAAUGAGCUUGUAUCUACUAACAGGCAAUAAGUGGACUUCACUCACAUUAUAGAUCAAUUCUACCACUGAAAAUGAAUGAUUCCAAGGAAGUCACAGUAAAUGGACUUUCCCAUAAAAGGUACAGUUUAAGAUCAAAUUGAAAGGUGCAAGCAUGCAACAAAAAGCUGGGGAGAUAAGGGAAUAUCUCGGAAAAUUAUUAUUUUAAAAUGUCUAGAAAUACACUUGAGUAAUGCAAGGAAACCUUAAGAAACAUUUUUCAGCUUUUUGCCAAUCUAUUAAUAAAAGAUCAAUGAUGCACCCUUCAUGUGCACACUAGCACAUUCAAGUUGCUAAGAGAACCCAGCAUGCUGAGACUUAGUUUGAAAUGAUGAUAGAGAAGAAACAACGAACUUGGCACCAAUUGAGUCCAUUGUGCAAAUGAAAGGCUUG